AGACUUACAGCCCAAUCAAUCAU
RNAcentral lists this small nuclear RNA (23 nucleotides) under Arabidopsis thaliana (thale cress). Its description in RNAcentral is "snRNA_02245". The record is from RNAcentral. Lineage: Eukaryota; Viridiplantae; Streptophyta; Magnoliopsida; Brassicales; Brassicaceae.